UACGUAGGGGGCAAGCGUUAUCCGGAUUUACUGGGUGUAAAGGGAGCGUAGACGGCAGGGCAAGUCUGGAGUGAAAGGCAGGGGCCCAACCCCUGGACUGCUCUGGAAACUGUCCGGCUGGAGUGCAGGAGGGGUAAGUGGAAUUCCUAGUGUAGCGGUGAAAUGCGUAGAUAUUAGGAGGAACACCAGUGGCGAAGGCGGCUUACUGGACUAUAACUGACGUUGAGGCUCGAAAGCGUGGGGAGCAAACAGG
RNAcentral lists this ribosomal RNA (253 nucleotides) under uncultured bacterium. RNAcentral describes it as "partial 16S ribosomal RNA". It matches the Rfam family "Bacterial small subunit ribosomal RNA", at positions 524 to 776 of the family's 1533-position model. The record is from RNAcentral.